Long non-coding RNA from Sorghum bicolor (sorghum), 1354 nucleotides. RefSeq lists it as uncharacterized. Lineage: Eukaryota; Viridiplantae; Streptophyta; Magnoliopsida; Poales; Poaceae. The record is from RefSeq and is a predicted model, not a curated record. The transcript has 2 exons.
GCCGUCGGCCUCCCCAAACCCUAAACUGAUUUACUCCUUUCCCUUCUCUUCCAUUUUUGACAUGCGGUUGCCACUGGGAGAGAGCAGGUAGGCGAAAGGCAGCGACACCAGGCGAAGCGAGCGCCGCCAUCUUCCGAUGCGAUGCGAGCGGGCGGAGAUCUGGUGUGGGUGGAUCCUUUGGUCCUUCCUGAAGUAGUGAGGGAUCCCUUCAUCGGUGCUUGGGCUCAUCACCGGAGCGGCGGCGCCAGGAACAACAUGGGCUCACAUCUCGAGGGUGGCGCAUCGGCGUCGCACGGACCCGGUGACGGCGGGAGCACAAGUACUAGACAUGAGCUACCUGAGCUCGUAUCUAGAGUUGCUUCUGGUGGGGGCGGCGGUCGAGCUGAGAUCCAAGGGCUGGCCUCCUUUACGCAUACCAUCCCCAACUUGGGGAGUUCAGUUUCAGUAAGAGAGCAUACAGUUCAAGCGAUUAGCAUGACAGAAGCUACUUAUUUACAGGCUCACUAGAUUGGGGAUAUUACAGGGAAGUUUAUUUUUUCCAAUUCCAAAUAGCAACUAUUUGUGUUAUUGUUUGAUUAGUCAGUCAUUGUCACUGAGUUGUUUAGACUCGAGGCUUGUGAUAUUCUGUUUCAGUCAGUCAUUAUCACUGCUAUAGGCAUGUGCCUUGUAUGUCUGUAUUUUUGCAUCCCAUGAACUGCAUCUCUACACUUACUGUUUCCAAUGGUCAGUGGAGUUUGUUGCAUCUAUUUAUUUUAAUGGUAGAUGCUCUUAUGUAAUAUUUUGUUUAUUUGACAGCUAUUUACCUGAUCACCUGUUGCACUGCAUUUUCAUUUUUUUUGCACUGUAGUUCCAUUUGCAACCAUUCUUCAGUGAAACCUGAUAUUCUUAGUCAACAAUAAAAUAAUCUCACAUUUGCAUUCUUUCCUGAAACCUGUAACUGAGAACUGAAGUCACCCUAGUGCUGGUUGAAUAAUAAAGCUGUGACCUAAAACUAUAGCUCUAUUGGUAGUUACUUCUAAAAUUUUUGGUAGUUCACUUCUAAUUUUCUUCUUACUGUAACAAUGCAGGAACAUGAGCCUGUGGGUGUUGGACAUUCAGACAUGUUUCCAGAUCUCAUAUCUUCCUGUGUUGGAACUUGUAUGUGAAAUGAUGGAAGAUUGCUGCAGGUGUCAUCAUAUAUAGGUAGUGGUAUUGGAAGAGAUUUAGUAAUUGGGUGCAGGUGUUUUACUCCUUGCUGCUGUGAGAGUUUCUAUGAGUAUAUAAAUAUGUAUAUGUAUAAGACCAUGUCAAAUAUGACGCGAUAUAUAAAUUAUGUAUCUGAAUAUAUUAAUAUGGACGCUGGUGAUUUCAAUUU